UACGAAGGGGGCUAGCGUUGUUCGGAAUUACUGGGCGUAAAGCGCACGUAGGCGGAUAUUUAAGUCAGGGGUGAAAUCCCAGAGCUCAACUCUGGAACUGCCCUUGAUACUGGGUAUCUUGAGUAUGGAAGAGGUAAGUGGAAUUGCGAGUGUAGAGGUGAAAUUCGUAGAUAUUCGCAGGAACACCAGUGGCGAAGGCGGCUUACUGGUCCAUUACUGACGCUGAGGUGCGAAAGCGUGGGGAGCAAACAGG
This 253-nucleotide ribosomal RNA is filed under the name uncultured bacterium. RNAcentral's name for it is "partial 16S ribosomal RNA". It matches the Rfam family "Bacterial small subunit ribosomal RNA", at positions 524 to 776 of the family's 1533-position model. The record is from RNAcentral.